GCAGCCGCCACGGUAAUACAGAGGGUGCGAGCGUUAAUCGGAUUUACUGGGCGUAAAGCGUGCGUAGGCGGCUUCUUAAGUCGGAUGUGAAAUCCCUGAGCUUAACUUAGGAAUUGCAUUCGAUACUGGGAAGCUAGAGUAUGGGAGAGGAUGGUAGAAUUCCAGGUGUAGCGGUGAAAUGCGUAGAGAUCUGGAGGAAUACCGAUGGCGAAGGCAGCCAUCUGGCCUAAUACUGACGCUGAGGUACGAAAGCAUGGGGAGCAAACAGGAUUAGAUACCCCGGUAGUCCCUGUCUCUUAUA
RNAcentral lists this ribosomal RNA (301 nucleotides) under uncultured bacterium. RNAcentral describes it as "partial 16S ribosomal RNA". It matches the Rfam family "Bacterial small subunit ribosomal RNA", at positions 508 to 808 of the family's 1533-position model. The record is from RNAcentral.